UUUCAUCAACAAUCAUCAACA
This 21-nucleotide non-coding RNA is filed under the name Caenorhabditis elegans. Lineage: Eukaryota; Metazoa; Nematoda; Chromadorea; Rhabditida; Rhabditidae. The record is from RNAcentral.